This 429-nucleotide ribosomal RNA is filed under the name Triticum aestivum (bread wheat). RNAcentral describes it as "partial small subunit ribosomal RNA". The record is from RNAcentral. Lineage: Eukaryota; Viridiplantae; Streptophyta; Magnoliopsida; Poales; Poaceae.
AUGUACUCUUUACCUCCUUAUGCAUUCAUAGCACAAGACUUUACUACUCAAGCUGCUUUAUAUACUCAUCACCAAUAUAUUGCAGGGUUCAUCAUGACAGGGGCUUUUGCUCAUGGAGCUAUUUUUUUCAUUAGGGAUUACAAUUCGGAACAGAAUGAGGAUAAUGUAUUGGCAAGAAUGUUAGACCAUAAAGAAGCUAUCAUGUCUCAUUUAAGUUGGGCUAGCCUCUUUCUAGGAUUCCAUACCUUGGGCCUUUAUGUUCAUAACGACGCCAUGCUUGCUUUUGGUAAUCCAGAAAAGCAAAUCUUGAUCGAACCUAUAUUUUCCCAAUGGAUACAAUCUGCUCAUGGCAAGACGACAUAUGGGUUCGAUAUACUCUUAUCUUCAACGAAUGGCCCCACUUUCAAUGCGGGUCGAAGCCUAUGGUAG